RNAcentral lists this ribosomal RNA (722 nucleotides) under uncultured bacterium. RNAcentral describes it as "bacterial SSU rRNA". It matches the Rfam family "Bacterial small subunit ribosomal RNA", at positions 136 to 851 of the family's 1533-position model. The record is from RNAcentral.
CAGCGGGGUAACCCGGAGAAAUCCGGCCUAAUACCGCAUGUGGCCGAGGGAAGGCAUCUUCUUUCGGCCAAAGGAGGCGACUCCGGAGACGGAUGGGCAUGCGUGACAUUAGCUUGUUGGCGGGGUAACGGCCCACCAAGGCGACGAUGUCUAGGGGUUCUGAGAGGAAGGUCCCCCACACUGGUACUGAGACACGGACCAGACUCCUACGGGAGGCAGCAGUGAGGAAUAUUGGUCAAUGGGCGAGAGCCUGAACCAGCCAAGUCGCGUGAAGGAUGACGGCCCUACGGGUUGUAAACUUCUUUUGUCAGGGAGCAAUUGGGUCCACGUGUGGGCUUAGCGAGAGUACCUGAAGAAAAAGCAUCGGCUAACUCCGUGCCAGCAGCCGCGGUAAUACGGAGGAUGCGAGCGUUAUCCGGAUUUAUUGGGUUUAAAGGGUGCGUAGGCGGAAUAUCAAGUCAGCGGUAAAAAUUCGGGGCUCAACCCCGUCGUGCCGUUGAAACUGAUGUUCUUGAGUGGGCGAGAAGUAUGCGGAAUGCGUGGUGUAGCGGUGAAAUGCAUAGAUAUCACGCAGAACUCCGAUUGCGAAGGCAGCAUACCGGCGCCCAACUGACGCUGAAGCACGAAAGCGUGGGUAUCGAACAGGAUUAGAUACCCUGGUAGUCCACGCAGUAAACGAUGAAUGCUAAUUGUCCGGAGGGAUUGACCUCUGGGUGAUACAG